GUGCCAGCAGCCGCGGUAAUACGUAGGCAGCAAGCGUUGUUCGGAAUUACUGGGCGUAAAGAGUUCGUAGGCGGUGUGCCAAGUUUGGUGUGAAAUCUCCCGGCUCAACUGGGAGGGUGCGCCGAAUACUGGCAUGCUCGAGUACAGGAGAGGAAAGCGGAAUUUCUGGUGUAGCGGUGAAAUGCGUAGAUAUCAGAAGGAACACCUGUGGUGUAGACGGCUUUCUGGACUGUAACUGACGCUGAGGAACGAAAGCGUGGGUAGCAAACAGGAUUAGAUACCCUGGUAGUCC
Molecule: ribosomal RNA, 292 nt
Filed under: uncultured bacterium
Lineage: Bacteria
Description: partial 16S ribosomal RNA
Rfam family: Bacterial small subunit ribosomal RNA
Source: RNAcentral